UAACAACAGGAAGGAGGUGAUCCAGUGUCUCAUUGUCAUCAGCCGCGGUCGUCUGCGCGCCGGACCUGGAUCGUCGCCUCCGGCUUCACGGCCUGAGCGCACGACGAACUAUCCGGGAUCGGUGAUGAUCCUGCGGAAUUGCUGAUGCAAUUCUGAUCGAUCGGUCGGACCGCGGUUCGGCAAUGGAAGGGCUGCCCCGGCAACGGGGCGGCCCU
Methylobacterium platani is the source of this 215-nucleotide non-coding RNA. The record is from Rfam. Lineage: Bacteria; Pseudomonadati; Pseudomonadota; Alphaproteobacteria; Hyphomicrobiales; Methylobacteriaceae.